RNAcentral lists this transfer RNA (69 nucleotides) under Barbatia decussata. RNAcentral's name for it is "tRNA-Tyr". Lineage: Eukaryota; Metazoa; Mollusca; Bivalvia; Arcoida; Arcidae. The record is from RNAcentral.
AGUAGAGGUGGCUGAGAUAGAAGCGCUAGAUUGUAGGUCUAGGAACGUGGGAGAUACCACUCUCUACUA